GACGAACGCUGGCGGCGCGCUUAACACAUGCAAGUCGAACGGAAAGGCCUGCUUUCCCUUGUGGAUUGCGGGUACUCGAGUGGCGAACGGGUGAGUAACACGUGAGUGGUCUGCCCCCAACUUGGGUAUAAGCCUGGGAAACUGGGUCUAAUUCCCGAUAGGCCUGCAGGGUGGUGCCUGUGGUGGAAAACGAUUUUCUAGUGGUUGGGGAUGAGCUCGCGGCCUAUCAGCUUGUUGGUGGGGUAAUGGCCUACCAAGGCGGCGACGGGUAGCCGGCCUGAGAGGGUGGACGGCCACAUUGGGACUGGGAUACGGCCCAGACUCCUACGGGAGGCAGCAGUGGGGAAUAUUGCACAAUGGGCGGAAGCCUGAUGCAGCGACGCCGCGUGGGGGAUGACGGCCUUCGGGUUGUAAACUCCUUUCGACCGCGAGGAAGCCACCUGGUUGGAAGGGUGGUGACGGUAGUGGUAGAAGAAGCACCGGCUAACUACGUG
This 494-nucleotide ribosomal RNA is filed under the name uncultured bacterium. Its description in RNAcentral is "partial 16S ribosomal RNA". It matches the Rfam family "Bacterial small subunit ribosomal RNA", at positions 28 to 507 of the family's 1533-position model. The record is from RNAcentral.